CUGCGCUCCUUUCAGGUCUUCCUAGAACAGUGUUCCCCUGGCCAUGAUCCUUCCUGGCACAUGGAUAGAGGUCAGAGGACAACUUUCAGGAGUCAGUUCCCUCCUUCCAUGGAGGGUUUCAGAGACCAAGUUCAGACCCUCAGGCUGGUAAGGCAAGGAGGAAAAAUGAAUCAACACCACAAGCAGGGGAAGUCCACUAUUCACACAGGAAACGGAAUGACAUCAUCACCAGGAUGAAGAAAGUUGCCCUCCCCACUGUAAACAAUGGCUUGCGAUUCUCCUUCUUAGCCUUUGUAAGAAAGGGCAGACACUCACUGGCAAGAUUUACCAGCAAGGCACUGAGAAGCCUGGAUAUGUCAAACCCACGACAUUCAGCUAAUCCCAGGGUAGGGAGUCAAAGUGAAUUCCAUGUGUUGAAUCUGGCACUUUCUGUGAUAAACGACACAUAGGAGAAUGCUAUUGAUUUAAUAAUCUCACUGAAAUGACAUGUUUUUGAUUCAGAAAGAAAAUGCCUGUUACAGACACACAGUGAGAAGUUAAAACCCUGACGGCACAGCCAAGUCACUACAUCUGAUGG
Molecule: long non-coding RNA, 577 nt
Organism: Apodemus sylvaticus (European woodmouse)
Lineage: Eukaryota; Metazoa; Chordata; Mammalia; Rodentia; Muridae
Exons: 3
Source: RefSeq, a predicted model, not a curated record